This is a small nuclear RNA of Molossus molossus (Pallas's mastiff bat), 137 nucleotides long. RefSeq annotates it as U11 spliceosomal RNA. The transcript has a single exon. The record is from RefSeq and is a predicted model, not a curated record. NCBI's taxonomy places the organism in Eukaryota, Metazoa, Chordata, Mammalia, Chiroptera, Molossidae.
UAAAAGGGCUUCUGUUGUGAGCGGCACACUCUAUAGAGCAGUUUGAUUGCUCUACGUGUGGAAUCGACAUCAACAGAUUUCAGGAGCAUACUUUUUUGGUACUUCGGCAGCAGGUGAUCAUUGGUCUUGGUGCCCGA